GGUAAGAAAUCGAACCUGUAAGAGAGAAAAUAAUGAGGUAGAAAAAAGGUUUGAAAAUUACAAAAAACAAUAGCACUGGAAGAACUGAAAUAUGAAAAGACCUUUAGAAGUAACCAAACAUGGAGCUCACUUGUGAUUUGUGAAGGAAUGCAGCAUAUAAUGAAAUACACCCAAUUAAAAAAAUACACCAUUUUUAGGAUGUGCAGGUAUAUGAAGAUCAGGAAACUUUGAUUAUUUUAAAUCAAGGUGAAUUCAAGAAGUACACCAAUAACCAAGUCAGUCACAUUGGAUAUUGCAGAAGACAUUGGACAGAUAAUAUGAAUGAUUAAUGAAAAAUGUUAUUAAAAACAUAAUUUUGCCUGAACAUUAUAAUGCUUUCAAUUAUCCCAAUCAAUUCAUGGAUAACUACAGUUAAGCUAUUUCCACAAUAUUGCAAAAAUUUCUCCAUGUAAGUAUGGUUAUUAUAACCAACUCUUGCAUUAUUGUAUUUCCACAACAUUGAAAAAAAUAAAAUGUCCCUGCGAACAGGCAGUAAUCCCAAAUUUUAAAGGCACAACUUGUCUCAAUCCUACCAACCAAAGGAAGCAAAACGAGAAUCAAUAUGCUAACCAGUCCAAUUCAAUUUUAAGGGUUAUAGUUAGAUAUGGAAACUUCAUAUCGAAGCGGCUAUACUAUGUAUUGCACAUUAUAUUACAUGGAAUAAUAGAAUAAUAAGAGAUUGAUAAAUAUACAAAUUUAGUUAUUAAAAUUUAAAAAAAAAUUACGGUUACAAUUUUUUAGAACCCACAAUACAUAUAUGUAUAUUCACCAUUGAUUUGACAUUUCAUGUAAGUUAACUUACAUGGAAUAAUUGAUGUAUUAUAUAAUUUUCCAUUAAUCAAAGCUGACAAGCGGACAAACUUCUUUAAGAUACCUAACAUUUACUUAGCAUAGGAAUUUUUUAUUUUUACUCGGUUUAUUGUAAGUUCAAGAUAUAAUAUGUAUAAUGAAAUUAAUAUGUAAAAUAAAUGAGUUCAUAAGUUUGUGUCAGGAUAUCAUCCGCCUCGCCUUGAACUAAUAGAAAAUUCCCACCUCAUUAAAGGUAAGGCAACAAUAGGUAAGAAUUUACGCCACCCAAUCCCAAGUUAACCACACCCCCUCAACUCUCAAAUCUUAUAUAUAUAUAUAUAAAAUUUAGACAAUAUAGGUUAUAGCGCCUCGCUUCAAAAAGGCCAUCGCCUCGCCUCUCGCUUAAGGCCAUAGGGUAGCCUAUCACCUUAGUGUCACCUUUCGCCUUAA
This 1278-nucleotide unclassified non-coding RNA is filed under the name Hevea brasiliensis (rubber tree). The record is from RNAcentral. Lineage: Eukaryota; Viridiplantae; Streptophyta; Magnoliopsida; Malpighiales; Euphorbiaceae.